RNAcentral lists this microRNA precursor (89 nucleotides) under Cajanus cajan (pigeon pea). RNAcentral's name for it is "miRNA gene-KK1_050083". The record is from RNAcentral. Lineage: Eukaryota; Viridiplantae; Streptophyta; Magnoliopsida; Fabales; Fabaceae.
UGCUACUUUUAAAAUCAAUUAUUUAAGAACCGAUCUUAAAAGUACUACUUUUAAGAUCGGUUCUUUUAUAACUGAUUUUGUAUGUAGUA